UACGUAGGGGGCGAGCGUUGUCCGGAAUUAUUGGGCGUAAAGCGCGCGCAGGCGGUCUUUUAAGUCUGAUGUGAAAUCUUACGGCUUAACCGUAAGCGGUCAUUGGAAACUGGGAGACUUGAGUGCAGAAGAGGAGAGUGGAAUUCCACGUGUAGCGGUGAAAUGCGUAGAGAUGUGGAGGAACACCAGUGGCGAAGGCGACUCUCUGGUCUGUAACUGACGCUGAGGUGCGAAAGCGUGGGUAGCGAACAGG
This 253-nucleotide ribosomal RNA is filed under the name uncultured bacterium. RNAcentral describes it as "partial 16S ribosomal RNA". It matches the Rfam family "Bacterial small subunit ribosomal RNA", at positions 524 to 776 of the family's 1533-position model. The record is from RNAcentral.